UAAAAUAUAACUUGAAUCCAAAACUCUUGUGGCCCUUAUGAAUUUUUUAACGGUGGAAAUUUAAUAAACAAUAUGUGGUCCACUUGAGAUAUGUGGAUCCAGUGUACCGUAUUCUUCUUGCGAAAAUAUCUCAAGCUUUUAAGUCCGACUGGAGUGGACUGCUUCACAAUCUGGGCUAUAGAUUUCACCAAAGUCGGUAGGCCACGUUUACGAUUCCUACACAAGAAAGCUUCGUCGACACGUGUCGCGACGCGACGCAUUGCCAACUCCUAUAUAUAACAUUUUCGGGGUCUUGGAAAGACGAAGAAUCUGAAAGCUGUGGAUGGAGGUUGAGCUGGAUAGGGUUUUUCUGUUCGCUUACGAGAGAGAGAGAGAGACAGUGAGGGAUGGAUGCUGAAGCUCAGAUCUUGAAAAGCUCUGUAGAGAUUGUCUCGCAACCGUCUCUAAUUCGCUUGGUGCAGGUCGGGAACGCUGCGCCUCUCCUUCUCCUCUCUCUCUCUCUCUCUCUCUCUCUCUCUCUCUCUCAUUGCAGGCGAAUCGUAUCCCGCCUUGCAUCAACUGAAUCGGAGAUGGCGGUGAAGCUUGCCCCUAUUCGAGCUUUGCAUGGAGGGAGUAAGGAUAAAGUCAGGAAGCGGAUUUGGCAUCUGUGCUUAGUAGCAGAGUUAUGGAGUACUUGGUUGGAGAGAAACAGUCUUCGUUUCAAAAAUCAAAGGGGUUGCAUCUCAGAAGUUUUUAACAGGGUGAAAUUGAAUGUAAUGGAAUGGGUGUAAGCUUCUAAUGUAUUAGUUAUUGAUCAGUUUUAUGUUGUUUAGGAUUGUUAGGGGUCUUUAUAUGUUAUUUAUUUAUUUAUUUUUUGGCCAUUUUCAAUAAAAUUAUAAUUAUUGCUUCAAAUAAUAAUAAUAAUAAUAAAUGUUGGACCAGGAGUGGUGCCUUGAGUUGAAUUUUUGAAGGCUUUUUUUUUUUUUUUUUUGGAAUUUUCGAAGGCAAUAUGUGGCUUUAGUGGGGUUUGAUGAUUCCAUUGCUUUGUUCCAAUAUAAAGCUUUCAUGAUAGAUCUGCAGGGAAAAGUGGCUGAGGCAUGUUUUGAUAUAAAGGUUACAUGAUUACUGAAGAAUUUUCGAGGCAGAAAUUGACUUCUGUAGAGGUUUCUUCCUAGCAUGUUUCAUGGAGAUGAAAUAUUAAUUUGGGUUGAGAAAACAGAAGCAAUUAGUGACACAACAUUGGUUCAGCUUUCAUUUUUAACACUGGCCUGAGCAAGCAGUUGGUUAGAAGCAGAGCGGUCUGUCUAACAAAAGAUUUGAUUGCAGGAUAUCUUUGGAUGCAGCACAAAAAUGUGUUCUUUAGCAAUUGUCUUCGACAUGCCUUUGGGUGUGUAAUCAAGCUAGUCACUGCAGCACUUUGAAGAGUCCAGUUGAAAAUUCAGUUCAUUUGUCUGUGGAAAUCCUGAAAAUUGAAACACACCAGGUAACUGCACCUGUGGAAACCAGUCAGCUCUAAUGUAUGAUGACCACACCCGCGGAAGCCAGGCUGUUCUAAUACAGUAUCAUUGCAGUAAGAUCACUUUAUGGCUCGGUUGGGAGCUUGUAUUUUGACUGCAUUUGAAUCCAAAUCACGGUUACAUCAGAGUUAA
Molecule: long non-coding RNA, 1628 nt
Organism: Magnolia sinica
Lineage: Eukaryota; Viridiplantae; Streptophyta; Magnoliopsida; Magnoliales; Magnoliaceae
Exons: 2
Source: RefSeq, a predicted model, not a curated record